GGGUUGUGAGGUUAAGCGACUAAGCGUACACGGUGGAUGCCCUGGCAGUCAGAGGCGAUGAAGGGCGUGCUAAUCUGCGAUAAGCGCCGGUAAGGUGAUAUGAACCGUUAUAACCGGCGAUACCCGAAUGGGGAAACCCAGUGUGACUCGUCACACUAUCAUUAACUGAAUCCAUAGGUUAAUGAGGCGAACCGGGGGAACUGAAACAUCUAAGUACCCCGAGGAAAAGAAAUCAACCGAGAUUCCCCCAGUAGCGGCGAGCGAACGGGGAGGAGCCCAGAGCCUGAAUCAGCAUGUGUGUUAGUGGAAGCGUCUGGAAAGGCGCGCGAUACAGGGUGACAGCCCCGUACACAAAAGCGCAUGUGCUGUGAGCUCGAUGAGUAGGGCGGGACACGUGGUAUCCUGUCUGAAUAUGGGGGGACCAUCCUCCAAGGCUAAAUACUCCUGACUGACCGAUAGUGAACCAGUACCGUGAGGGAAAGGCGAAAAGAACCCCGGCGAGGGGAGUGAAAAAGAACCUGAAACCGUGUACGUACAAGCAGUGGGAGCACCCUUCGGGGUGUGACUGCGUACCUUUUGUAUAAUGGGUCAGCGACUUAUAUUCUGUAGCAAGGUUAACCGAAUAGGGGAGCCGGAGGGAAACCGAGUCUUAAUUGGGCGUUAAGUUGCAGGGU
RNAcentral lists this ribosomal RNA (674 nucleotides) under Salmonella enterica subsp. enterica serovar Bovismorbificans. RNAcentral's name for it is "partial 23S ribosomal RNA". It matches the Rfam family "Bacterial large subunit ribosomal RNA", at positions 1 to 708 of the family's 2925-position model. Lineage: Bacteria; Pseudomonadati; Pseudomonadota; Gammaproteobacteria; Enterobacterales; Enterobacteriaceae. The record is from RNAcentral.